Molecule: long non-coding RNA, 376 nt
Organism: Hydractinia symbiolongicarpus
Lineage: Eukaryota; Metazoa; Cnidaria; Hydrozoa; Anthoathecata; Hydractiniidae
Exons: 2
Source: RefSeq, a predicted model, not a curated record
UUUAGGGUAAACAUGACCACGUAUGAUGUGUGUGUUAUUGGUACUGGUGUGAAUGGAAGUGGAUCGGCUAAUUCACUUCGAAGCAUAAGAAGAAAGUUUUAUAUUGUUAGAACAGGUUAAAUGACAUGUUAGAAGUAUUCAGUCAUGGCAGAGAAAAAAGAGAAAUGCUGCAAUGUUUUAAAUUCACAUGGUAUUCAAUAUAAUGUCCUAACGGCUGAAGAAAUCAACUGACCGUUUCCACUGUUAAAUUACCACGUCAUCAUUUCGGCAGUUUAGAACACAAAGGCGGCAUGCUGUUAGCUUUUAAAUGUGUGUUUGCUUUGCAGGUAGCGAAAGUGUCUGCUCGCUUUAGUAACCUCAGUUGGAAAAUUUUAAA